CUUGAGCGAGCCGAGCAGCAGCGGCCGGUCGGCGGGACGGCCUUGGCCGUAUGUCGCCAGGAGUGCCUGGGCCUC
RNAcentral lists this antisense RNA (75 nucleotides) under Streptomyces sparsogenes DSM 40356. RNAcentral describes it as "ASpks TB sRNA". It matches the Rfam family "ASpks TB sRNA". Lineage: Bacteria; Bacillati; Actinomycetota; Actinomycetes; Kitasatosporales; Streptomycetaceae. The record is from Rfam by way of RNAcentral.